CAGGCGCUGAGCUGCCCCUUGCGAGCUCUGUGUUGUCCCCGCCUAGCACACAAUGAACUCUCUGCUCCUCCCCGUGCUCCUCCUGGCUCUGGCCCCGGGUGUCCUGUCCCAGCUCCAGCUCCAGGAGUCCGGCCCGGGGGUGGUGAAGCCUGGAGAGACGCUCACACUCACCUGCACUGUCACCGGGGGCACCGUCACCAGCAGCUACUGGUGGAACUGGAUACGCCAGGCUCCGGGCCAAGGGCUGGAGUGGAUGGGACUAUGGACCGGGAGCACAAGCUACGCCCCGUCUCUCCAAGGCCGAAUCACCAUCUCCGUGGAUUCUUCCAACACCAAAUACUAUCUGCGGCUGAGCUCGCUGACAGCUACAGACACCGGCACCUAUUACUGCGCCAGAGACACAGUGACACAGAGCAGAGCAGGGACCAUACAAAAAGGGGAAGCAGAUUCUAAGCAAAGCAGUGAGGCCAGUUCAGCCGGGAGUGCUGAGUGCAGACCCCAUCCCCUGCACACAGACUGUGUGUGUGUUUGUGCAUGUGCCUGUACGUGUGUAUCUGUGUGUGUGUCUGUCUGUGUGUGUUUUCCUUUUGGGAUCAUAUUGGCUGAUGUUCUCCCAGCAGAAUAUUUCGUCGCCCGCACUGCAGCUCCUGUUCCAGUGGGUAAAUCGGCACCAAAGAGUCGAGACGUCUGUGUUGUCAUCAAAUCUCUCUGACCUUUACC
Non-coding RNA from Chrysemys picta bellii (western painted turtle), 720 nucleotides. The record is from the annotation of a RefSeq genome assembly. NCBI's taxonomy places the organism in Eukaryota, Metazoa, Chordata, Testudines, Emydidae.